CCUGAGGCCGCAGGUGCGGGUCCGCGGUGACCUGCCCUGGCUGCGGGGCCCAGGAGGGCGGAGGGCGGAGAACGGCGGCGGCGCCCGAGCUUGGGCAGGGACUUCUGGAGCGGAGUCCGCGCGAGUCGGUGGCCCGGCGCUCCGCCCUCGCCCGCGGCGGGACCCGGGGCGGCUCGGUCCCCGGAGCAGGUCCUACUGCCCCGGGCGCGGACGCAGGUGUCCAGGGCCCCUGCCAGCGCGGCGGAACGGGUCCCUCGACUCCCGCCGCACCAUCGGCCGUUCCCGCCGCCUCGCUGCCCGUAGGGCCGCGGUAGUGCCCACCUGGACACGGACGGCGGGGUAGACGCUGAGACCCAGGCCUCCAUCCGCUGCUGCCCUGCACGGUCCUCGGUCCAGCCCGACCUCCCGACCUCACGGCUGCCCAGGUGGCCGGGCCCCACUCCACCGCUCUGGGCGACCCGCCUGCUGCGCACCCCAGACAGCGCCGUGGGGUGACCCGGGCGCCCUGCUGGGGGAAUGCCCGACGCCCCUUCCUCUUCGGGACCGCGGUGGGCACGGAUGUCGACCCCCAUUCCCCGCCCAGAGACUCUGGAGGUCAGCUCCCCGCGACCUAGAGGUGCUGAGGUAGUGGGCAGUGGUGCGUGUCCGUGGGGGGGCGUGGCCGGCCUCGACCUCCGUCAGUUCAGCGCUGUUCCCUGGGUUUGGGUCUGAAAAGAUUCGUUCCCUUAUUGGACCCUCAGUUUUUCAGUAAAUAUAAAAAAACUGUAGAGUUUGAAGAUAAAAAUAUGUCCAAAGGGGUGAAUUUCAGGUUUAAAAAAAAUUAAUGUUUCAGCCCUCCCUUGGUUAAGUGUUCUCCCCCUUCUUCCCCAUUACCACCUGUCCCCCAUGCUGAGCGGGAUGUUUGUAAAAUGUAUUUUUGUUGAAUAUUAUAAAAUAGUAUUCAACAACCCUGAAGAUUACAGGCAAGUCAUAUGAAAAUAUUCUAGACUUUUCCAUGUGAAACAACAUCUGUGCAAGAAUACGUGAUAUACGUACAGUUUGUAGAAAUAUUAAAAGUCCAUCAUGAAGGAAAGGCCAGCCUUGAUGCAGAACAGGCUUUUACCUUGGCACCCCCCUUGAAAUGAAGCGGGUGUGGGGUUCCUGCACUCUGCAGAUAACAUUUUAAAGUAUGUGGUAUAUAUGUACACACACGCAGAGCAUAGGAUUCAUGUUACACAUAGUCAUAUAUAGAAUUCAUAUAUCGGGGCUGGGAUUGUGGCUCAGCGGUGGAGCGCUCACCUCGCACAGGGCGGGGACCCGGGUUUGAUCCUCAGCACCACAAAAAAAAAAAGCAUUGUGUGUGUCCAUCUACACCUAAAAAAUAAAUAAGUAAAUAAAUAUUUUUUUAAAAUUAAAAUUCAUAUAUCAAAAAUAAU
RNAcentral lists this long non-coding RNA (1415 nucleotides) under Marmota monax (woodchuck). Lineage: Eukaryota; Metazoa; Chordata; Mammalia; Rodentia; Sciuridae. The record is from RNAcentral.